UACGAAGGGGGCUAGCGUUGUUCGGAAUCCCUGGGCGUAAAGGGCGCGUAGGCGGCUUUAUAAGUCGGGGGUGAAAGCCUGUGGCUCAACCACAGAAUUGCCUUCGAUACUGUAGAGCUUGAGACCGGAAGAGGUAAGUGGAACUGCGAGUGUAGAGGUGAAAUUCGUAGAUAUUCGCAAGAACACCAGUGGCGAAGGCGGCUUACUGGUCCGGUUCUGACGCUGAGGCGCGAAAGCGUGGGGAGCAAACAGG
This 253-nucleotide ribosomal RNA is filed under the name uncultured bacterium. Its description in RNAcentral is "partial 16S ribosomal RNA". It matches the Rfam family "Bacterial small subunit ribosomal RNA", at positions 524 to 776 of the family's 1533-position model. The record is from RNAcentral.